GCGAGAGUGGCGGAACUGGCAGACGCGCUGGACUUAGGAUCCAGUGAUUUCACAUCGUGGGGGUUCGAAUCCCCCCUCUCGCA
Molecule: transfer RNA, 83 nt
Filed under: Candidatus Eiseniibacteriota bacterium
Lineage: Bacteria; Candidatus Eiseniibacteriota
Description: tRNA-Leu
Rfam family: tRNA
About the family: Transfer RNA (tRNA) molecules are approximately 80 nucleotides in length.
Source: RNAcentral